RNAcentral lists this ribosomal RNA (465 nucleotides) under Vreelandella stevensii. RNAcentral's name for it is "partial 16S ribosomal RNA". It matches the Rfam family "Bacterial small subunit ribosomal RNA", at positions 338 to 795 of the family's 1533-position model. Lineage: Bacteria; Pseudomonadati; Pseudomonadota; Gammaproteobacteria; Oceanospirillales; Halomonadaceae. The record is from RNAcentral.
CCUACGGGGGGCAGCAGUGGGGAAUAUUGGACAAUGGGGGGAACCCUGAUCCAGCCAUGCCGCGUGUGUGAAGAAGGCCCUCGGGUUGUAAAGCACUUUCAGUGAGGAAGAACGCCUGGUGGUUAAUACCCAUCAGGAAAGACAUCACUCACAGAAGAAGCACCGGCUAACUCCGUGCCAGCAGCCGCGGUAAUACGGAGGGUGCGAGCGUUAAUCGGAAUUACUGGGCAUAAAGCGCGCGUAGGUGGCUUGAUAAGCCGGUUGUGAAAGCCCCGGGCUCAACCUGGGAACGGCAUCCGGAACUGUCAAGCUAGAGUGCAGGAGAGGAAGGUAGAAUUCCCGGUGUAGCGGUGAAAUGCGUAGAGAUCGGGAGGAAUACCAGUGGCGAAGGCGGCCUUCUGGACUGACACUGACACUGAGGUGCGAAAGCGUGGGUAGCAAACAGGAUUAGAUACCCCAGUAGUC